RNAcentral lists this ribosomal RNA (236 nucleotides) under uncultured bacterium. Its description in RNAcentral is "partial 16S ribosomal RNA". It matches the Rfam family "Bacterial small subunit ribosomal RNA", at positions 568 to 774 of the family's 1533-position model. The record is from RNAcentral.
CGCGUAGGCGGCUUUCCGCGCGUGCGGUGAAAGCCCGGGGCUCAACUCCGGGUCGGCCGUGCGGACGGGGGAGCUAGAGUCUGGUAGAGGCUGAUGGAAUUCCGGGUGUAGCGGUGGAAUGCGUAGAGAUCCGGAAGAACACCGGUGGCGAAGGCGGUCAGCUGGGCCAGCAACUUCGGUUGGCCUGUCGCAAGACAGGUACUGACGCUGAGGCGCGACAGCGUGGGGAGCAAACA